RNAcentral lists this long non-coding RNA (1804 nucleotides) under Sus scrofa (pig). RNAcentral describes it as "lncRNA (ENSSSCG00050027805.1)". The record is from RNAcentral. Lineage: Eukaryota; Metazoa; Chordata; Mammalia; Artiodactyla; Suidae.
UAAAGAGAAACUUUCCCUCGUGUAUUUGGUUACACAGUGGUGCUUGAGACAUGCACAAAUCUAUGUGGUUUUCUUCUCCUUAUUUAUCGGUUUUCAAAAUGACAAGUUGGUGUAACCUUCGCUAGUGGUGACCAGUGAGGUUUUCUUUUAAAAUAAUAAACUAAAAAAAAAAAAGUAAUAAUAAUAAUUAAUGAAAAGAGCCCCAUUAUUAGAAGAGCUAAGGAUGUUGAAAAGUACAGUUAUUUUGGUAAGUUUUAUCAGUAAACCUAAAUAUAACUUACCCACUGAUCGAGGCCAGGGAUUGAACCUGCCUCCUCAUGGAUACUAGUCAGAUUCGUUUCUGCUGCGCCACAACGGGAACUCCUAUUUUAGGACUUUGUAAGGGGAAAAGCAAAAUCUGUCUCUUAAAUACUAGCACAGGAGUUCUCUUGUGGUGUAGUGGGUUGAAGAGCCAGCAUUGUCACUGCAGUGACUUGGGUUGCUGCUGUGGUGCAGGUUUGAUCCCUGGUUCAGGAACUUCCACAUGCCAAAGGUGUGGCCAAAAAAAAAGAAAUGGAAUUCCAUGAGGUUGCAGGUUUGACCCCUGGCCUCACUUAGUGAGGUGGGCUGUGGUGUAGGUGGCAGACACGGCUCGGGUCUGGCAUUGCUGUGGCUCUGCUGGCCUACACCAGAGCCACAGCAAGGCCAGAUCCCCGACCCGCUGAGCAAGGCCAGGGAUUGGACCUAUGUCCUCAUGGAUCCUGGUCAGGUUCGUCAUCUCUGAGCCACAAUGGGAACUCCAGAUUUUUUUUUUCCUUUUUGGCCACCCUUGGCACAUGGAGUUCCUGGGCCAGGGGUCAGAUCCCAGCCACAAUUGUGACCUACAUGUAGCUGCAGCAACACUGGAUCCUUUAACCCUCUGUUCCAGGCCAGGGAUUGAACCUAUGUUCUGGCACCACAGAGACGCCAGUCCCCUUGUGCCACAGUAGAAACUCUGAUCUUUUUAUUUAUUUAUUUUUUUAAGGUAGGGCUCCGCACAUUUCAAGAUUGUUGUGGUUGACUAUUUGUAAAGGAGUUCUAGUUAGCUUUCUAACUUAAAAAAAAAAAAAAACCACUCUGAGACCUCAUGUGGGGGCUGAAAUGAUCUAGUUCUAUCAUGUUCCCUCGUCUCCAUAGCUGUAUUUAGAUCCUCAUAGUGUGUAAUGAUGUGUGGUCUCUUUUGUCCUUGUCUUUACUGGGAAUCCACAUGGACAUAAUAACACAUUCUGUCUUUUACUUCCUAUCAAGUAUUAAGCCAGAUGGCUUUUCUCCCAGGCCGAAGAGUCUCAGGAUGACCUCUGAAAAGAACUGGGGCUCAUGUAGAUAGAAAAUAAAUGUGCCUUUUUCUUUUCCAAAACAGAGCACUUAUUGUUAUUAUUUAAAAUAAUUGACCUUUUUUCCUGAUAUGACUCGGAGAAGAGAUGAGUGAUUCGAUAUUGGAGAUCAUUCUAUGGGUUAAUCUCUCCAGUUUCCCAACUAAACCAAAGCAAAUAACCUUAGAAAGAAAUAUCUUAAGGGGUUCCCGUCGUGGCUCAGUUGUUAACCAAUCUGACUAGGAACUAUGAGGUUGCGGGUUCAAUCCCCGGCCUUGCUCAAUGGGUUAAGGAUCCAGUGUUGCCAUGAGCUGUGGUGUAGGUGGCAGACACAGCUCGGAUCCCAUGUUGCUGUGGCUGUGGUGUAGGCCGGAGGCUACAGCUCAGAUUCAACCCCUAGCCUGGGAGCCUCCAUAUGCCUUGAGUGUGGCCCUAGAAAAUACAAAAAAAAAAAAAAAAAAAAAAAAAAAAAA